RNAcentral lists this long non-coding RNA (2513 nucleotides) under Marmota monax (woodchuck). The record is from RNAcentral. Lineage: Eukaryota; Metazoa; Chordata; Mammalia; Rodentia; Sciuridae.
UGACUUUGGACUUACUAAUCUGCUACACUCCUGAUGUACUUAUUUUACCUUAAUUUCAUGUUAUGUAUGCAAAAUAUAUUUAUCCCAGUCUAAUAGGUAUUGUUUUUUUUCUAAUUUUUGUUUACUUAAGCCAUGACUCCUAAUCAUACCCAAGAAUAUUCACCACAAAAGGGCCUAAAACAUAUAUUUCAUGAAGUGAUAAGUGCAAAAUAUAGAAGUUGUGAUCUUGACUAUUUACAACAAAUGAAAAUAUGGAAAACUACAAGUGAGUGUGAACACCAGAAAUCAUAUAAAAUAUCACGCCUUGUUCACCACCAGAGAAUUCAUACUGGAGAGAAGCCCUACAAAUAUAAAAAAUGUUGCAAAGAAUUUAGUAAAAAACAAGGUCUUAUUUACCACAGAGGAACCGAUAAUGGAGAGAAGGCCUACAAAUGUACAGAAUGUGGUAAAGCUUUCAGUCUAAAAUCACUCCUAAUUUGUCACUGCAAAAAUCACACUGGAGAGAAGCCCUACAAAUGUAAAGAAUGUGGCAAAGCUUUUGGUCGAAAAUCAAACUUUAUUUGCCACACCAGAACUCACACUGGAGAGAAGACCUACAAAUAUAAAGAAUGUGGCAAAGCUUUCAGUCGAAAAUCAAACCUUAUUUGCCACAGCAGAACCCACACUGGAGAGAAGCCCUACAAAUGUAAAGAAUGUGGCAAAGCUUUUCAUCAAAAAUCAUACCUUAUUUGCCACAGCAGAACCCACACUGGAGAGAAGCCCUACAAAUGUAAAGAAUGUGGCAAAGCUUUCAGUCAAAAAGUAGGCCUUACUUGCCACAGUAGAUCUCACACUGGAGAGAAGCCCUACAAAUGUAAAGAAUGUGGCAAAGCUUUUGUUCGAAAAUCAAACUUUAUUUGCCACAGCAAAACUCACUCUGGAGAGAAGCCCUACAAAUGUAAAGAUUGUGGCAAAGCUUUUGGUCGAAAAUCACACCUUAUGUACCACAGGAGAACUCACACUGGAGAGAAGCCCUACAAAUGUAAAGAAUGUGGCAAAGCUUUUGGUCAAAAAUCAAACCUUAUUUGCCACAGAAGAACUCACACUGGAGAGAAGCCCUACAAAUGUAAAGAAUGUGGCAAAGCUUUUCAUCAAAAAUCAUACCUUAUUUGCCACAGCAGAACCCACAAUGGAGAAAAGCCCUACAAAUGUACAGAAUGUGGCAAAUCUUUUCAUCAAAAAUCAAACCUUAUUUGCCACAGGAGAACUCACACUGGAGAGAAGCCCUAAAAAUAUAAAGAAUGUGGCAAAGCUUUUCGUCAAAAAUCAGACCUUAUUCACCAAAGCAGAACUCAUUGGAGAGAAGCCCUUCAAAUAUAAAUAAUGUGGAAAAGCUUUUACUCAAAAAAGCAGGCUUUAUUUGCCACAGAAGAACUCACACUAGAGAGAAGACUUCAAGUGUAAAGAAUUUGGUAAAGCACUCAGUCAAAAAUCACACCUAUUUGACACAGCAGAACUCACACUGGAGAGAAGCCCCAUAGAUGCAAAGUAUGUGACAAAGUUAUUACUCAAAUAUUACACCUUAUUUGCCACAGCAGAAUUUACACUGGAGAGAAGCCUUACAAAUAUAAGGAAUGUGGCAAAGCUUUUAUCAAUUAAACAGGCCUUAUUCACCACAACAAAACUCACACUGGAGAAUAGACCUACAAAUGUGAAUAAUGUGGAAAACUUAAUAAAAAAUAAAACUUUAUUCACCACAGCAGAAGACAUCCUGGUGAAGGUGAAAUGUGAAUAAAGUGAUCAUACUUUUAAAGAAAGACUAAACCUUUGGGCUGGGGUUUUCGGUCAGUGGUAGAGCGCUAGCCUCAUAUGUGUGAGAUCCUGGGUUCAAUCCUCAGCACCACAUAAAAAUAAAUAAGUGAAAUAAAGGUAUUGUAUCCAACUAUAACUAAAAAAUAAACAUUAAAAAAAGAAAGACUAAACCUUAUUAACAACAGAAUUUAUACAGAAAAGAACCCCUACAAAUUGAAACAAUGCAGCAAAGCUUUUAAUAAUAAAUCAAUUAUUUUUCAUCACUAGGCUCUUUAUUUUGGAAAGAAGACAUAUAAAUGUAGAGAAUGUAGAAACAUUUUAAAUUAUUUAUCAUACAUUAGUGGACAUCAGAGAAAACACACUGGAGAGAAGCUCUACAAAUGAGACCAUUGUACUAUUCCUCUAAGAAAGGGAUAACAUUUAACCCUCUCCACAAUAACCAUAGCAUAGACAAAGUUUUGAAAUGUGAAAAUGGACAAUGUGACAAUGCCUCUAAAAUUUAUUCACCAAUGCUCAACACCUGUAGAUACAUACUGGUUAGAGACAAUACAAAUGGGAAAAAAUUGUAGCCACAUGUUUCUUAAACACUGCUGAUUUUUGGAGAAUUCAUUGUGCCCAGAAAUCCUAAAGGGUUAAAUAAUAUUUCCAUAACUUAUUCAAAUUUUAAAUUCUUUGAACAUCUGAAAACUCAUACUAGUAGUGAACAUUAAACAGAUUUUGUC